GCAAUGUAGACACCGUGGGCGGUCACUCUCUCCAGGCUCUGCCUAGCUGGUGUAGUGUAGGAGAGCACAGGGCUCUGCCACAUAAUGCACAGUCCCUUUUCAUAAUGUUGCAGAUGAAGCUGGGCUUUGUGUCUGUAUUUGCAUAUUCCUAUAGCAUCUCAGAUUCUUUUGGGUCUGAGGAGACAAACCAUGUAGAAAACAUGU
Molecule: small nucleolar RNA, 204 nt
Filed under: Sciurus vulgaris (Eurasian red squirrel)
Lineage: Eukaryota; Metazoa; Chordata; Mammalia; Rodentia; Sciuridae
Description: Small nucleolar RNA SNORA73 family (ENSSVLG00005008357.1)
Rfam family: Small nucleolar RNA SNORA73 family
About the family: U17 (SNORA73A and SNORA73B) also known as E1 belongs to the H/ACA class of small nucleolar RNAs (snoRNAs). Vertebrate U17 is intron-encoded and ranges in length from 200-230 nucleotides, longer than most snoRNAs.
Source: Rfam by way of RNAcentral